RNAcentral lists this ribosomal RNA (205 nucleotides) under Staphylococcus aureus. RNAcentral's name for it is "partial 23S ribosomal RNA". It matches the Rfam family "Bacterial large subunit ribosomal RNA", at positions 1483 to 1685 of the family's 2925-position model. Lineage: Bacteria; Bacillati; Bacillota; Bacilli; Caryophanales; Staphylococcaceae. The record is from RNAcentral.
UAGGCGAAGCGUGCGAUUGGAUUGCACGUCUAAGCAGUAAGGCUGAGUAUUAGGCAAAUCCGGUACUCGUUAAGGCUGAGCUGUGAUGGGGAGAAGACAUUGAGUCUUCGAGUCGUUGAUUUCACACUGCCGAGAAAAGCCUCUAGAUAGAAAAUAGGUGCCCGUACCGCAAACCGACACAGGUAGUCAAGAUGAGAAUUCUAAG